GAAGCGGGAAGAGCCCAGCACCGAAUCCGGCAGCCUUGCGCUGCACGGAACUGUGGUGUUUGGGACGUCAAUUGGUGCGACGUCCGGGUGCCCAAGUCCUCCUGAUCGGGGCCUCUCCCAUAGCGGGUGUCAGGCCUUUACCGGCACUCGGCGUCGUGCCUCUGAGCGUCCUUGGAGUCGGGUUGUUUGAGAAUGCAGCCCAAAGAGGGUGGUAAACUCCAUCUAAG
Molecule: ribosomal RNA, 227 nt
Filed under: Mytilisepta virgata
Lineage: Eukaryota; Metazoa; Mollusca; Bivalvia; Mytilida; Mytilidae
Description: partial large subunit ribosomal RNA
Rfam family: Eukaryotic large subunit ribosomal RNA
Source: RNAcentral